This 149-nucleotide unclassified non-coding RNA is filed under the name soil metagenome. Its description in RNAcentral is "partial internal transcribed spacer 1". The record is from RNAcentral.
CCGAGUUUACAACUCCCAAACCCCUGUGAACAUACCUUUAAUGUUGCCUCGGCGGAUCAGCCCGCGCCCCGUAAAACGGGACGGCCCGCCGCAGGAACCCUAAACUCUGUUUUUAGUGGAACUUCUGAGUAUAAAAAACAAAUAAAUCA